GAUGAAGAACGUAGCGAAAUGCGAUAAGUAGUGUGAAUUGCAGAAUUCAGUGAAUCAUCGAAUCUUUGAACGCACAUUGCGCCCUUUGGUAUUCCUUAGGGCAUGCCUGUUCGAGCGUCAUUUAAACCUUCAAGCUCAGCUUGGUGUUGGGUGACUGUCCGCCGCCUCCGGGCGCGUGGACUCGCCUCAAAAUUAUUGGCGGCCGGUACAUUGGCCUCGAGCGCAGCAGAAACGCGAACUCGGGCCCGUCGUAUUGGCUCCCAGAAGCUAUCUUCACAAUUUUGACCUCGGAUCAGGUAGGGAUACCCGCUGAACUUAAGCAUAUCAAUAAGCGGAGGA
Molecule: unclassified non-coding RNA, 339 nt
Filed under: soil metagenome
Description: partial contains 5.8S ribosomal RNA, internal transcribed spacer 2, and large subunit ribosomal RNA
Rfam family: 5.8S ribosomal RNA (bases 1-120)
Source: RNAcentral